RNAcentral lists this long non-coding RNA (730 nucleotides) under Equus caballus (horse). RNAcentral describes it as "lncRNA (ENSECAG00000051337.1)". Lineage: Eukaryota; Metazoa; Chordata; Mammalia; Perissodactyla; Equidae. The record is from RNAcentral.
GAUAUGUUACAUUACACGGCAAAAGGGAGUUUGUAGAUAUAAUUAAGGUAAUAGACCUUAACUUAUGCAGAGUCUUCUGGGUUAUCCAGGUGGGUCCAAUGUAAUCACGUGAGUGCUUAAAAGCAGAAGAGGACGUCUGAAGAUGAAAGCGAAGGGAUGUGGCAGACGGGGGAGUCAGAGAGAUUCCCGGGGUGAAAGGUAUUUGAGGUGUUAUUGCAGGCUCUGAGACAUGAAGGCCAUGUGCAGUAACUGGAGAAAGGCUUCUAGGAGCUCAUCCAAAGCAUCAGAAGGUACACAGACAGGCUCUAGGAGCAAAGACUGGUCCCUGGUGACAGCCAGCGAGGAGUUGGGAACCUCAGUCCUACAGCCACAAGGAACUGAAUUCAUCCAACAACUUGAAAGAGCUUGGAAGCAGAUUCAUCCCCGAGCCUCUGGAGCCAUUCAGGAGCCACUCAGAAUCACCUCUAUAGAAGAAGAGAUGCUCCUAGUGCCCUUAUCACUUAGGAAAUUACAAGGGUUUCAGGAGUUCUGUGCCAGGAACCAGGAGAGAGACGGAUACAUAUUUUCUAUUAUCUCACAGUCCACCCCCUGCUCUCUGGCCAUGGACUUCUUACAGCAAAAUGACAGGAAUCAUCCCUGCUUCCUGCCCUCGUAGUUGUGGCCCUGGUCGUAUGACCGCUGCAUCCGACAGGGGAAGAAAAUAAAGUUGAGAUGAUAUGGGAUAGAAGGU